UCCACGCCGUAAACGAUGAAUACUAGGUGUCGGGCGUCAAAACUCGGUGCCGCAGCAAACGCAUUAAGUAUUCCGCCUGGGGAGUACGCACGCAAGUGUGAAACUCAAAGGAAUUGACGGGGACCCGCACAAGCAGCGGAGCAUGUGGUUUAAUUCGAAGCAACGCGAAGAACCUUACCAGGUCUUGACAUCUCUCUGACCGAUCCUUAGCCGGAUCUUUCCUUCGGGACAGAGAUGACAGGUGGUGCAUGGUUGUCGUCAGCUCGUGUCGUGAGAUGUUGGGUUAAGUCCCGCAACGAG
Molecule: ribosomal RNA, 300 nt
Filed under: uncultured bacterium
Lineage: Bacteria
Description: bacterial SSU rRNA
Rfam family: Bacterial small subunit ribosomal RNA
Source: RNAcentral